AGAACGAACGCUGGCGGCAUGCCUAAUACAUGCAAGUCGAACGAGACCUUCGGGUUUAGUGGCGCACGGGUGCGUAACGCGUGGGAAUCUGCCCUUGGGUUCGGAAUAACAGUUGGAAACGACUGCUAAUACCGGAUGAUGACGUAAGUCCAAAGAUUUAUCGCCCAGGGAUGAGCCCGCGUAGGAUUAGCUAGUUGGUGAGGUAAAGGCUCACCAAGGCGACGAUCCUUAGCUGGUCUGAGAGGAUGAUCAGCCACACUGGGACUGAGACACGGCCCAGACUCCUACGGGAGGCAGCAGUGGGGAAUAUUGGACAAUGGGCGAAAGCCUGAUCCAGCAAUGCCGCGUGAGUGAUGAAGGCCUUAGGGUUGUAAAGCUCUUUUACCCGGGAAGAUAAUGACUGUACCGGAGAAUAAGCUCCGGCUAACUCCGUGCCAGCAGCCGC
RNAcentral lists this ribosomal RNA (445 nucleotides) under uncultured soil bacterium. RNAcentral describes it as "bacterial SSU rRNA". It matches the Rfam family "Bacterial small subunit ribosomal RNA", at positions 26 to 518 of the family's 1533-position model. The record is from RNAcentral.